Molecule: ribosomal RNA, 253 nt
Filed under: uncultured bacterium
Lineage: Bacteria
Description: partial 16S ribosomal RNA
Rfam family: Bacterial small subunit ribosomal RNA
Source: RNAcentral
UACGAGAGGUCCAAGCGUUAAUCGGAAUCACUGGGCUUAAAGGGUGCGUAGGCGGGCCUGUAAGUGUUCUGUGAAAUCCCAUGGCUCAACCAUGGAAUUGCAGGGCAUACUGCGGGUCUUGAGGAAUCUAGAGGCCGGCGGAACGAUAGGUGGAGCGGUGGAAUGCGUAGAUAUCUAUCGGAACGCCAAAGGUGAAGACAGCCGGCUGGGGAUUUCCUGACGCUGAGGCACGAAAGCGUGGGGAUCAAACAGG